Bos taurus (domestic cattle) is the source of this 3855-nucleotide long non-coding RNA. The record is from Ensembl. NCBI's taxonomy places the organism in Eukaryota, Metazoa, Chordata, Mammalia, Artiodactyla, Bovidae.
CCCACGCUCCUGGAGCCCGAAGCCGCUGCUCGGCCUGUGCACUGAGGGGGUCAUGCAGGACUGACCCCCGGGGGGAAUGGCCAGCACGUCCCCAUCCUCAUGGAGACAGUGAGCUUCAACUCUGAAGCAGUAACAGCAUCCCAGGCACAGCCGUGAAAUGACCUGGGCUUGUCUGCGUAUGGAAUGUGUCGCUGCGGUGACAGCUCAGUACACACGCCCUGUGAGGCUUACACUCUACGCGGGCCGCGUGUCACAACCAAGGCCCACACUGCGUGUGUGCUCACUCAGCCGUGUCUGACUCUGCGACCCCACGCACCGGAGCCGCCAGGCUCCUCUGUCUGGGGGAUUCUCCAGCAAGAGCACUGGAGUGGGCUGCCAUUUGCCUCUCCAGGGCAACCUCCCCACCCAGGGGCUGGACCCACAUCUCCUGCGUCUCCUGCGUCGGCAGGCGGGUUCUUUACCACCAGCACCACCGCAAACACCCCUUGUUUCAAACCACGCCAGUGUCCUUCCUGGCAUCCUGGGCACUGCCUCUUCAGUCCCUUCUGGGGUAAACACCAACGCCAGAGCGUGGAGCUCAGCUGAGCUUUUCCAAAACAGACCAACGGGAUUAUAGACUCAGCCUCGUGAUUUCCUUUUGCAUCUCGAUGGAGGACGCAUGUGAUUUCCACUCGACUGAAGUUGAGCGUAGACACUGUGUGUGUUCUGAGUUGCUUCAGUCGUAUCCCACUACGUGUGACCCCAUGGACUGCAGCCCGCUAGACUCCUCUGUCCAUGGGAUUCUCCAGGCAAGAACACUGGAGUGGGUUGUCAUUUCCUCCUCCAGGGAGUGUACACUCUAGAAGUCAGUUAAUAUGUGUGCAGUUUAAAAGUUAACUGACCAGAGGUCAGCUUGCACCCACAUCCUGAAGCGGUUGUUCCAACAUGUGGACUGCAUGCUACAAAAAUACCUCCACUCAUCUCCUCUGAACCACCAGGCACAGGAGGAAAUGCCAAAAUCCUGGGGAAGGCUUCUCGGAGCUAGAGGUGUUGGUUUCAGCUGAAAGAGAAACUGUCACAGUGAGCAAGGAGGAUCCAGGGAUUUCUUUUUCCUCCAUCGCUGAUUCUACUAGGAAGACAAGAGCAGAACGCCCGUUUUCCUUCUGUGGAUGCAGACUGCACUGUGGAGCUGGCAUCUCAUGUUACCUGCCGGCCUGCCCAUGUGCAGAGAUGGGCGAGACUGCGGGGCUGUGUGGGUGGCGUGGAACACAGACGCGGGGUGAUGGUGGCGGCUGCUCACGUGCGUGGGAAGCUCACAGGUCAGACACCAUGGCGGUCAUCGUGCGGGUGUGUGGAGAGACACAGCGCCUCCUUUAAGCAAUCUUUCCCAUGGAGAUGGCAAGAUUUCUCUUAGGUUUCGAAUUAGAGCCUCUGUCCCCAAAGAAAUGCGUCAGUAAAGGCGGCUUAAUAACCGGCCCUCCACAUCAGACGUCCUGCUUCUUAAUUUUUGAGCAAACUGUGAGUCACUUUUGUUUCACGGCAGCCUGCGAACGCCUCCUCUGAAAAGCCACACUCGGGACCUCUUUGGCUGAUCCGAGCUGCUUUAUUCCAGAAUUCAGCCGGGAGUGAGUCGUUCCCAGACCUCCCUCGCACGGCCUCUGAAUCGGCACCUAAUAAACAUGCAUUUGGGGGAGAAGGCUGAUGGGAGGGCCAUCGCUUAAGUUCCUAUUGUUUCAUUGAUAAAAAUGAUCCGGGAAGCGGCAGAAUAUGUUAGCCAUUUCCUUUGGUUUUCCAUCGAAGGCUGAAAGACAUUUCUAAAAUAGAUCUAUUUUCUUUUCAUUCUGCAGAAUAAUGCAUGAAUGAUUAUAACAUAUGCUCUAUCUCCCUUUUUUCCCUCCCCUCAACCAGUGGGAAAGUGCCUGAGACUGUAAUCACAACUUGUUGGGUUUUCAAUCUGAUGCUGUCCCGUUUUAUCAUGGUAGUUAAACGUCCAUUCUUGUUCGGUGUGAUAAAUGUUAUGGCCGUGUAACAGUAACGAAAAAGAGAGACAUGUUAAACCAAAUAUUGCUUCAGAUUGUGUCUUUUAUUCUCCUUUAUCAUCAUAUCUUAAUUUAUAGUAUAAUCAUCAUUAUCGCAACUGUCAGCCUCAUUUAACCCCGCUGAUCUCCCAUGAUUCUCCGCCGUCAGGUCUGAUUGCCUACCUUCUGCCGACGGGCUGAUAAUGCCUGACAGAUUAACCCUCCCCAAGAGGAAGACAAUGAUACAUAGGACAGCGCCGAGCGCGCUAUAUAUUAAUGAGGAGCUGGCAAGGCUUUGAUAAGGCUGCAGAAUAAUCCAUCAGUGGGGAAGGAGCUUGUAAAACGGGAGGAACGUUUCAUGGGAAAACACCUGGGAAGGGUGUAACGACCCGGCAGCUAAACGCUGUCAGCUGCCUCUCCCCGCGUGUAAUUAGCAUCAGACAGGGCGCGCGGCUGGCCCGCGAAGUCCAUCAGCCCCGGGACCCAGCCUCACUCGCUCCACGCUGGCCCCACCGCGCUCCCGCGUUUACAGCGUAUUUAGCAAGCCGGCAAUUAAUAGCUCGCGUUCUUGGGCAUCAGAAACUGUUUAUCUUCUUCUGAACGUGCUCUCGCCGGAGGCUGUUACCUGGGAAAGGCAGGAGCCGCUGGCGUUUUCUGCCGCACUUACUCCACGGAGGCCGCUCCGCCAUUAGAUACAAUGCCUCAGAUGGCUACUUGAGCUUGAAUGCACCGUUAUUACAGGAAUCUUGGAGCGGCCGGAUCUCGAGCACCCGGACUCCCGAAGCAGCUGUGUCUCCCUGCACCCACGCCCACGGCUGCGCUCACCUUCUGCGCGAGGGGGCCAGGCCCCCACACCCCCGUGCAGACUCGGCCCCCACCUUAACUCCAGGACCGCAAAUGCUGUCCCGAGAGAUUCGUCUUCCACCAGUCGGCAGGCUCCUGCUAGGUGCAGAAUGCCUGAGCCUCCCUUUUCUGCAUUUUCUUCCUCCUUUUCCGUGUGUGUAUGCACAUGCACCCGGGCAUGUUUGACGAAGUGUAACAUCAAAACUUAGGAGAGAGAAGUCCAGAGGCAUUCAGUGACGGGAAACGUCAAAGAGACCCAGGAAACGUUUGGGGAGGAGGUCUAGACUUCCUGUGUCAAUAGAAACUCACUACAGGUGUUCAGACCACUGGAGAGAUGGGGAAAGUAUUAUUCCACACACCUCAGCGUGCACGGGUAACAUUUCACUCAGGAGUUGUCUUUUGGAACUUAGCUCGAUGUCUUAUCAGUGUUUCCUACUAUUUCUGACCUAGAAGAGGCCCUUAAAGAACUGUGUACUGGCCACAAAUAAAUAAGGAACACAGAAACAAAGUAUUUACAAAAUCCUCCAAGCACCCCCCCCAAAGAAAGCCUCCCCACCAACUAAGCUUCCCACAGACAAAUGGAUCAACCACUAGAUUCGCCACCUGUGAAUGGGCACAGCUUCUGGUCCUGAAGCAAUUCAAAGAACAGAGCAGAGAGAAGGAAAGGCUUGUUUAUUGUCUGUCCUGGCAUACAAGAUCCUUUGCAUAAAAAUACAGACUCACCCUGCAUCUCUUCAUUUACUGCUGUAUAUUUUUAUAUAUUCUGCACCAAUAACAAAGUGAGGAGAAAAUACAAGACUCUAUUAAAAAUAUGAGUAAAAAGAAAACCUCCAUAAACCGUGUCCAUAUUUUCUGAAAAGCCUUAUCGUCACAAAGAGCAUAAUAUUAUUUAAGAGGCAACUGAAAUCAAAGAUCUUCAAAAUCUGCCAUCUCUUGGCUUCUUCCAAGUCAGAACCUUCCCACUGGGUGCCCGGUUCCCCUCGCUAUGCGUGUCCCCAUGGUACAAGUACAGUGA